RNAcentral lists this transfer RNA (74 nucleotides) under Planctomycetota bacterium. RNAcentral describes it as "Planctomycetes bacterium (freshwater metagenome) tRNA-Arg". It matches the Rfam family "tRNA". Rfam says of the family: Transfer RNA (tRNA) molecules are approximately 80 nucleotides in length. Their secondary structure includes four short double-helical elements and three loops (D, anti-codon, and T loops). Further hydrogen bonds mediate the characteristic L-shaped molecular structure. tRNAs have two regions of fundamental functional importance: the anti-codon, which is responsible for specific mRNA codon recognition, and the 3' end, to which the tRNAs corresponding amino acid is attached (by aminoacyl-tRNA synthetases). tRNAs cope with the degeneracy of the genetic code in two manners: having more than one tRNA (with a specific anti-codon) for a particular amino acid; and 'wobble' base-pairing, i.e. permitting non-standard base-pairing at the 3rd anti-codon position. Lineage: Bacteria; Pseudomonadati; Planctomycetota. The record is from RNAcentral.
GCGCCCGUAGCUCAGUUGGAUAGAGCAUCGGAUUUCUAAUCCGGCGGUCGGGGGUCCGAAUCCCUCCGGGCGCG